AUGGUGGAUCCUCUGUCAAUAGCAGCAAUUGGAUGGGGCCUAACCGCCACAGGGUGGUUCGUCUCCCCAUACAUCACCAGGCUUCUGGACAAAGCCUACGCCCACAUCAAGCCAGGCAAAGCAAGCAAGAAGAUUCGGCUCCUGGUAACUCAGACUGUCCCUCGGUUGAAGCUUAUUCUAGAAGCAGCAGAGGGCAGCGAACAUAAGGAUCUUUUCGAGGAGUUGCUGACAGAUCUCAGAUCUGCUUUCUAUGCCACUGAAGACAUCCUGGAUGAAGUUGAGUACGUUCGUCGACUCAAGAUUGGGAGUAAGCGUAAAUUUGAUUCAUGUGUUGAAGAUAGCUCCUCAAGCCAGGGCAUUGGUACUUCAUCAAGUUUGACUAUCCCGGGCCCUUUAAGUAAACUUCUGAAGGAAAAUGUGACCAAGAUAGAAGAACUUAUUGAGAAAGUACAUAAAACUAUUGAAUCGGCAAACCUGCAAAGCAACAAUGGAAGUGACAAACGUAUAGCAACUACUACUGCAAAAAAUGUACAAGGGCCCACUCUUUCAGUCCCAACGGGCAAGGUAACAGGCAGAGAUGAGGAUCUUAAGAAGAUAACGGAUAUGCUUCGUCAGGCAGAAGACGAUACGUGUUUAUCUGUAAUUGGAAUUAUUGGUAUUCCAGGGUCUGGGAAGACAACGCUGGCACAAUGUGUGUGCACGUCCGAGAGAAAUGAUGACUAUUUUGACCUUGUUAUGUGGAUUCAUGUUUCGGAAUAUUUUACCGUGCAAACCAUUUAUGGUGAGAUGUUCGAGCAAGCUUGGCAAAAAUUUGGGGAGAAGGAUAAAAAAUACCCUCAAUAUAGUAGCCUUGAUAUGCUGAGAGCGGAACUGGAGAAGGUGCUAAAUGGCAAACGAUUCUUCUUGGUACUGGAUGAUAUCUGGUUCAAUAAGUUACAACAGUUACUCUCUCCAUUAAAGGUUGGAAAGGAAGGAAGAAAGAUCCUCGUGACAAGUCGACACGAUUCACUGUCAUGCCUAGGUCCUGAUGUGAGAACUACUACGUAUCAAAUACCUGAUUUAGAUGAUGAAGCCUUCUUGAAACUGUUCAUGCAUUAUGCACUUGGUAAUAAGCUUGUACAUAAGGCAGAUGAAGGAAAGCUCCAAAGUAUUGGUGAGGAGAUUGCAAAAAAACUGAAGAAAUCACCACUAUUAGCAAGAGUAGUAGGAGGAAUCCUAUUUCAAAAAAGAAUGGUUAAGGUUACCGAUUGGAGAAGUGUUAAAGAUCAGAAUCUCUUGGAUAAGCACAUGGGAGCUCUGUGGUGGAACUACAAUCAUCUUGGUGAGCAGGUCAGGCGGUGCUUUGCUUAUUGCAGCAUUUUCCCUAGAAGACAUCCUUUGCGCCGUGAUGAGUUAAUUAACCUGUGGGUGGCAGAAGGGUUUAUUAAUACCACAACCGGAGGACAGGAAGCUGAAGAUGUUGGUCAGGAUUAUUUUGAUGAAUUGUUGUCCACCUCAUUUCUGCUUCCUGGAUGGAAGGAUCACAUGCAUGGACAUGAGUACUUUGUAAUUCAUGAUCUACUUCAUGAUUUAGCAGUGAAGGUUGCAGGAAGUGAUUGCUUCAAAAUUGAGAAUGAAUGGACAGGAAAUAUUUCUAUAGAUGUUCGCCAUCUUUAUAUCCAGAGGUGUAAUGCAUCCAUGCUUACUGAGCAUAUUAUCAAACUGAAAAACUUGCGGAGUCUUAUCAUUUAUGAGAUUGACUAUGACAUAAGCAAACAAGUCCUUGAGGAGAUGUUUAGGAAGUUAAGUAAGCUGCGGGUACUGAUCUUGACAGCUACAAGUUGUCCUUCUCAGUUUAUUUUCCCAGAAUCUAUUGGUUCUUUAAAGUAUCUGCGCUAUCUUGGUAUUCAGAGAUUUGCUGACAACAUAACAAUGCCAAGCACAUUUGCCAAGCUUUACCUUCUGCAAGUGCUUGAUUUGGGUGAUGCGUGCAGUGUUCAUUCCUCCUUUGGUGAAAAUAUCAUUAAACUCUUUGACUUGCGGCAUGUAAUCAGUACAGUUGUGUGUUUUCCAAGCAUUGGCAGACUGACAUCACUUCGCACGAUGCCAAAAUUAUCUCUUUAUCCGGAAGAAGGCCUUGAUGGGUACGAGUUACACCAGCUGAAGCACCUCAACAAGCUUCAAGGCAAGCUUACAAUUGGAUGUCUUGAGUACACUAAAAGCAAGGAGGAAGCUCUUGAAGCCAAGCUAGCUGAUAAGGAACACCUCACAGAACUGAAAAUGUUAUGGUAUGAUGAGUACAUUUGUACCCCAGAUAUAGAAGAAGCGCAAGCAGAAGUAGAAGCAGAUGUGCUCGAGGGUCUUUGCCCACCGGAGAAUAUUAAAUCAUUGACAAUAUCUGGUUACAGAGGUUCAAGGUAUCCAAGUUGGAUGGUUAGCACGCAGAAGAGCACAAUGCACCUGCACAACCUCGUGCUUGACUCGUGCGACCACCAGCCUGAUUCUAGCCCCGGACUCUUUUUCAUUCCUGUUAGUUCUCUCGAGCUACAUGGCUGCUGGUGGGACACCUUACCCUACAACAUGGAGGACCUCGAGUCGCUCUAUCUUCACGGUAGUAAUAUACCAUCCAAUAUGCAGCACCUCACGUCGCUCAAGAAACUGAUCAUCAAAUGUGAGGAACUUUAUUCAUACGAAGUUACUCUUCCAACACUGCCCAGUUGUCUUGAGUACAUUGAGAUUAGUGGCGGGAUAUACAUAGCAGAUAACAAAAUUUGGGAGAAGAUUAAGGAUGUUCCAAAUAAGGUUAUCGAUGGUUUGCCAAUUGAUGGCAUUGAAGAUUUUCCGUGGACUGAAGAUUCGUCAGACGAGGGCUCUGAGGCGACCGGAUAA
This 2868-nucleotide ribosomal RNA is filed under the name Triticum aestivum (bread wheat). RNAcentral describes it as "partial small subunit ribosomal RNA". The record is from RNAcentral. Lineage: Eukaryota; Viridiplantae; Streptophyta; Magnoliopsida; Poales; Poaceae.